Molecule: unclassified non-coding RNA, 250 nt
Filed under: uncultured fungus
Lineage: Eukaryota; Fungi
Description: sequence contains ITS2
Source: RNAcentral
AAUCACCUCAAACUCUGACAAGAUUUUAUAUUUUGUUAGUGAUUGGAAUUGAGUGAUCCCAACACACAUUUUUGUGGCGGGUUACUUGAAAUGCAGGUGCAGCAGGAUUUUCAUCUGAGCUAAAGGCAUUAUUUAUUUAGUCCCUUUAAAAAGGAUUAUUACUUUGCUUCAGCUAAUAUUAAAGGAUGAGAUUCUAAAUUGCUGACUACUGAUGCAGGAAAUAUUGCAAAAGGAUCUUUCUUUUUGUAUU